Lathyrus oleraceus (garden pea) is the source of this 1556-nucleotide long non-coding RNA. RefSeq lists it as uncharacterized. The transcript has 2 exons. The record is from RefSeq and is a predicted model, not a curated record. NCBI's taxonomy places the organism in Eukaryota, Viridiplantae, Streptophyta, Magnoliopsida, Fabales, Fabaceae.
GAAGAAAAAAGUUAAUGGUGAAACUUUAACACUUCGACAAGUCAAGAAAAAGAAAACAAAACGCCAAGGUUCUGAGGCUAGUUCACCAAAGAAAUCAAGGAAGGAACAUGUUGUCAAUAUUGAUGACAGAGAAGGUUAAUAAGAAGAGAGCCCUUAGCUAACUCGGAAAAGGACGAAGCGACCAAAACAAGCUCUUCUUGACGAAAGUUCGGAGAAUGCAAAUUCAAUCCCUAACUUUCAAACAAUCGAGGAACAACCUAUUUAUGUUGUGUUUCCAUCGCCAUAACUGACUAUUGGCAAUCUAGUCAAGGAAACAAUUGUUGAACAACCAUGGGACGUGGCUGAAAAUCAAAAUCUUUCAUAAUAGUCCACACCAGAGAACCAAAAUUCUAAACACCAUACACCUCUAGGAACCCUAGAUCAUGAACAACAACCAGCUGGUUCAGAGGCUCAUAACUCUAAACCUUAAUUAGAUAGCCUAUGCAACACUGUUCUAACACCAGAAAGUCCUAAGCAUGAUAAGAAACUACAAGAGGACCAAAAUGUCGCUCGAACAUAAGAGGAUGCAAAUGUUGAUCUAAUCUAAAGAGACCAAGUCCCAAAAGAACCUCAAUCUACUAUUGUCGAAGGAGGAGAACCACAAAUGGUUCAUACUUCUACAAUUUUGCCAGUAGCCAAUGAGCAUCCUUUCUCGACUACAAUGACUAUUGUUCAGCCUCUAAAUCAGGAUUCUUCAUCUAACAUUCUGACACUCCUCUCAAUUGAGAGGAAUUAAAGGUUAUUAAAGAGAAAAGCCCAGUAGAGGCUUUGAAGAAGUUCAUGAGUAGUCAAGUUAUUUAUGUCGACAAAUCGCCAAGCUCUUCAACUACUUCAGGCCAUGAUCUUUCUAGUGACUCUUCUUCUAUCUUGGUUCAACAACUUAGAUCAAAUGUCUUUGAUGUGGGCCUAUUCCAGUCCAUUGAAUACAAUCAUGUUGCUGAAUAUGAUAUCAAGACUUUGUUGAAACAAGUUUCUUAUGAAAACUGCUUAGAACAUAAAAUUAAAGAAAGAGUAUGCUAACAGACUCAAACAACAGACUGACGUCAUGUCCUAACAAUGGACCUUAAUACUCAAUCUUAGAGUCGAAUUAGUUAGCUAGAGGCACAGGCUAAAAUGGAUAAGGAUCGGGUGGCACUUUUCAAUGCAAACAUAUCAAGUUAGACGAAAUAGGUAGAAGGGUUGCAACUAAAGAUUGAAGAAGAGAGAUGAAAGAAAACUGAAAUAGAAACCUCAAGAUUGGUGUCUAUUGAUGAAAAAACUGGUUCAUGAAGCCAACGUUAUUCUUCGACAUGUUGAUGUUGGUUUUAUGCUAGAUGAGGAAGUGCAAAUAUUGAAGCUUGAAGAUGCCAUAGACGAUACCAAACUCAGACUACCAAAGCAAAGUCUUGAAAGAAUUAAGGUUGCUUUUCCUCUUUAAGUUUUCAAUUCUUGUUUUGUUUCUGUAUGAAUGUGUGAAUGACAAUUUGUCAUUUGUCAUUUUUCAAUCAUAAGUCAAUUUUGACAUUUUUAUUGCCUAA